This 570-nucleotide ribosomal RNA is filed under the name Rhizobium leguminosarum. RNAcentral's name for it is "bacterial SSU rRNA". It matches the Rfam family "Bacterial small subunit ribosomal RNA", at positions 69 to 673 of the family's 1533-position model. Lineage: Bacteria; Pseudomonadati; Pseudomonadota; Alphaproteobacteria; Hyphomicrobiales; Rhizobiaceae. RNAcentral also lists the same sequence under 2 other names. The record is from RNAcentral.
CAGCGCCCCGCCAACGGUGAGGAAGCGGGCACUACGGGUAGAGUAACGCGUGGGAAUCUACCCUUGACUACGGAAUAACGCAGGGAAACUUGUGCUAAUACCGUAAGUGUCCUUCGGGAGAAAGAUUUAUCGGUCAAGGAUGAGCCCGCGUUGGAUUAGCUAGUUGGUGGGGUAAAGGCCUACCAGGGCGACCAUCCAUAGCUGGUCUGAGAGGAUGAUCAGCCACAUUGGGACUGAAACACGGCCCAAACUCCUACGGGAGGCAGCAGUGGGGAAUAUUGAACAAUGGGCGCAAGCCUGAUCCAGCCAUGCCGCGUGAGUGAUGAAGGCCCUAGGGUUGUAAAGCUCUGUCACCGGAGAAGAUAAUGACGGUAUCCGGAGAAAAACCCCCGGCUAACUUCGUGCCAACAGCCGCGGUAAUACAAAGGGGGCUAGCGUUGUUCCCAAUUACUGGGCGUAAAGCGCACGUAGGCCGAUCGAUCACUCAGGGGUGAAAUCCCAGGGCUCAACCCUGGAACUGCCUUUGAUACUGUCGAUCUGGAGUAUGGAACACGUGAGUGGAGUUCCCAG